Molecule: ribosomal RNA, 496 nt
Filed under: uncultured bacterium
Lineage: Bacteria
Description: partial 16S ribosomal RNA
Rfam family: Bacterial small subunit ribosomal RNA
Source: RNAcentral
AUGAACGCUGGCGGCGUGCCUAAUACCUGCAAGUCGAGCGAACGGACGAGAAGCUUGCUUCUCUGAUGUUAGCGGCGGACGGGUGAGUAACACGUGGAUAACCUACCUAUAAGACUGGGAUAACUUCGGGAAACCGGAGCUAAUACCGGAUAAUAUUUUGAACCGCAUGGUUCAAAAGUGAAAGACGGUCUUGCUGUCACUUAUAGAUGGAUCCGCGCUGCAUUAGCUAGUUGGUAAGGUAACGGCUUACCAAGGCAACGAUGCAUAGCCGACCUGAGAGGGUGAUCGGCCACACUGGAACUGAGACACGGUCCAGACUCCUACGGGAGGCGGCAGUAGGGAAUCUUCCGCAAUGGGCGAAAGCCUGACGGAGCAACGCCGCGUGAGUGAUGAAGGUCUUCGGAUCGUAAAACUCUGUUAUUAGGGAAGAACAUAUGUGUAAGUAACUGUGCACAUCUUGACGGUACCUAAUCAGAAAGCCACGGCUAACUACGUG